CCUACGGGUGGCAGCAGUGGGGAAUAUUGGGCAAUGGAGGAAACUCUGACCCAGCAACGCCGCGUGAAUGAUGAAGGUCUUCGGAUUGUAAAGUUCUUUUCUAAGGGAAGAAGAAAGUGACGGUACCUUAGUACUAAGCCUCGGCUACCUACGUGCCAGCAGCCGCGGUAAUACGUAGGGGGCAAGCGUUAUCCGGAAGGACUGGGCGUAAAGGGUGCGUAGGUGGUUUGACAAGUUGGUAGCGUAACUCCGGGGCUCAACCUCGGCACUACUACCAAAACUGUCGGACUGGAGUGCGGGAGGGGCAGGUGGAAUUCCUAGUGUAGCGGUAGAAUGCGUAGAUAUUAAGAGGAACACCAGUGGCGAAGGCGAUUUGCUGGACUGUAACUGACACUGAGGCACGAAAGCGUGGGGAGCAAACAGGAUUAGAUACCCUUUUAGUC
Molecule: ribosomal RNA, 443 nt
Filed under: uncultured bacterium
Lineage: Bacteria
Description: partial 16S ribosomal RNA
Rfam family: Bacterial small subunit ribosomal RNA
Source: RNAcentral